CUUUUAUGAGGUGGUAAGAUUUUUCCGAUACAAAUGAGCCUCCUUGAGGAAGUUGAUCAUAUCAAACUGUGAUGAGUCACCACAGUGACUCUAAAUGAGGAGAAACUAAGUUCCCAGCAGUGAUGUUGGAUACUCAAUAGUCUCCAAAAGGAUAAAAAGUAAGCCUGGCGAAAUCUUUGUUUGGUACCUGCCUCCAGUCCAUUUGUGAAGGAGUGCUAAUGAAAAAUGAGAGUGAUGUUCCCAUCACACAUUUUUGGAUUACUGUGCAGCAACAUCAAUUGGAAACCUAAUGAAAUAGAGACCACCUAUGGAGGAGGGAGAUUGUGCUCCUCUGUCUGCCUGCAUCCAAUUUACCAAGCAACUGUGUGGAACAAGCUGCCUGUUUGUUGUGCCCCUGUCCAAUUGAUCAUACAUUUAACAUUGAUAAUUGGCAAUGCCAAUUGCCACUAUCUUUCUCCAGUGGAAGUAUGCUGCAGCGCUUUACCAUUGUGCAAUAAUAAAGGGAACAAUUUAUUUCUU
Molecule: long non-coding RNA, 519 nt
Organism: Mastomys coucha (southern multimammate mouse)
Lineage: Eukaryota; Metazoa; Chordata; Mammalia; Rodentia; Muridae
Exons: 2
Source: RefSeq, a predicted model, not a curated record